Myotis brandtii (Brandt's bat) is the source of this 493-nucleotide long non-coding RNA. RefSeq lists it as uncharacterized. The record is from RefSeq and is a predicted model, not a curated record. Lineage: Eukaryota; Metazoa; Chordata; Mammalia; Chiroptera; Vespertilionidae. The transcript has 3 exons.
UCCUGAUGUACUUGGCGGCCCACUCACUGGCCUGAGAAUAGUGGUCCAGGAUGAUGAGCUUCAUCUUGUUCUGCGGGGGGCAGGGAAAUCUGGAAUCUGUGGAGUCAGCCUGGGGACAAAACACUGAGGCCUGGGUUUGAAUUCUGGUCUAGCCAAUCUCCACUUCUCGGACGCUGGACAGUCUAAUACGCUCCCUGCCUCUCACCUCGGGGAGGCCAGGUAACUUAGUUCUGACAAGGAAUUAAAAGGAUGGCUUCUGAGAAAAUACUUUUCUUUCUGAGAAAAGUGGAAAAAGCACAUGUGGCAAGAAAAUGAGAUCUCCCUACAGCCAUGGGAGGCAGCCAGUGGGUCAGCAGCCCCAGUCACGGCCUUGAGAUGACUGCAGGCCUGGUCAGUAUCCUGAGGAAAGUCUCCUGAGAAACACCGAACCCAAAUCACUCAGCUUAGUUGCUCCUGAAUUCCUGACCCACAGAAGUUAUGAGAUUUUAAAAAU